GAGCGUGUGGCCUAGUCAGGAUAUGGCGGCAGCCUCCUAAGCUGCAAGUCGAGGGUUCAAAUCCCUUCACGCUCGCCA
This 78-nucleotide transfer RNA is filed under the name Methanolobus sp. RNAcentral describes it as "tRNA-Arg". It matches the Rfam family "tRNA". From Rfam's summary of the family: Transfer RNA (tRNA) molecules are approximately 80 nucleotides in length. Their secondary structure includes four short double-helical elements and three loops (D, anti-codon, and T loops). Further hydrogen bonds mediate the characteristic L-shaped molecular structure. tRNAs have two regions of fundamental functional importance: the anti-codon, which is responsible for specific mRNA codon recognition, and the 3' end, to which the tRNAs corresponding amino acid is attached (by aminoacyl-tRNA synthetases). tRNAs cope with the degeneracy of the genetic code in two manners: having more than one tRNA (with a specific anti-codon) for a particular amino acid; and 'wobble' base-pairing, i.e. permitting non-standard base-pairing at the 3rd anti-codon position. Lineage: Archaea; Methanobacteriati; Methanobacteriota; Methanomicrobia; Methanosarcinales; Methanosarcinaceae. The record is from RNAcentral.